AUGGUUGAGGGCUCCGAGUCCGAUAUUGCCAACCUGAAGUUCCUCCUCCGCUGCUUCCAACGGAUGUCCGGUCUGACCAUCAACUUUGAUAAGAGCGAAGUGAUGGUGCUAGGAUACCCACCGAUGGAGGCCCAGGGCAUUGCGGACCGGCUUAAUUGCCGACUGGGUUCUUUCCCCACGACCUAUCUGGGGAUCCCCAUUAGUGACUCUCGCCUCACAUUAGCAGACCUCCGCCCUUCCGUGACCCAGAUGCAACACCGAGUCGAGCCCUGGAAGGGCCGGUGGCUCUCGAAGGCGGCGCGGGUAAUCCUCAUCAACUCCUCGCUGGCUAGCCUCCUCUGGUUCCUCAUGAGCUUCUAUAGACUCCAUGAGACGCUCCACCAGGAGGUGGCCAAAUAUCAGUCCAGAUUUUACUGGGCUGGCGAGGGGGACAAGCAAAAAUACCAUAUGGUGAGCUGGCCGGACAUUUGCAAACCCAAGGACCACGGAGGUCUGGGGAUCUUGUCCUCCCGUCGCAUGAACAUUGCUCUCCUGACCCGAUGGCUAUGGCGUAUUGCCAACGGGGAGGGCGGCCUCUGGCUU
RNAcentral lists this ribosomal RNA (582 nucleotides) under Triticum aestivum (bread wheat). RNAcentral describes it as "partial small subunit ribosomal RNA". The record is from RNAcentral. Lineage: Eukaryota; Viridiplantae; Streptophyta; Magnoliopsida; Poales; Poaceae.